UACGGGGGGGGCAAGCGUUGUUCGGAAUUACUGGGCGUAAAGGGUUCGUAGGUGGCCAACUAAGUCAUACGUGAAAUCCCUCAGCUUAACUGGGGAACUGCGUCUGAUACUGGUUGGCUUGAGUGCAGGAGAGGAACGCGGAAUUCCAGGUGUAGCGGUGAAAUGCGUAGAGAUGUGGAGGAACACCAAUGGCGAAGGCAGCCUUCUGGGCCAACACUGACGCUCAUGCACGAAAGCGUGGGGAGCAAACAGG
This 253-nucleotide ribosomal RNA is filed under the name uncultured bacterium. RNAcentral describes it as "partial 16S ribosomal RNA". It matches the Rfam family "Bacterial small subunit ribosomal RNA", at positions 524 to 776 of the family's 1533-position model. The record is from RNAcentral.